Micropterus dolomieu (smallmouth bass) is the source of this 601-nucleotide long non-coding RNA. RefSeq lists it as uncharacterized. NCBI's taxonomy places the organism in Eukaryota, Metazoa, Chordata, Actinopteri, Centrarchiformes, Centrarchidae. The record is from RefSeq and is a predicted model, not a curated record. The transcript is spliced from 4 exons.
GAUGGCAAAGUAUUUUUGAUUUGGUUUUGUCUGUUUUUUAACUCCGAUGAUAAUCAUCCAUUGAAUCACAUUUACUGCACUCUGGUUUAUUAUGGCCUGCCAGAGUGAACAGUGUCUAGAGAACAGGCAAUCCUUUCAUUAACUCUGAGUGCUUCCUCAGUCUGACACGUGGCACAGCGAAAUGCUGCCAGGUUUGGGUUAAACCGCAGCUCCAACGGUCCGAGGGGCACUUCGCCAUAGUGGAGAAUGGCAUGCACAAUGUGCAAAAGUGUUGCGCUGCCAGAGGACUCAGUCUGGUUCAUGAUAUCAGCCCCCUCCACCCCUCCUCUUUGUGACUCAUUAACAAGCUCAGGUCCCAGAGAUGAUGGAUGGAUCGCUUAGUCCUCCAGCUGUAAAUGAGGCAGAGAAGCGACAGACAUCAAAGGUAUUUGCAUCUUGUGAUGGCCUCACUUGUAGAUGUCACUGCAGAUGUUAUUGGCUGAGCAUGCCUUUUCCAAGCAUAAUUCACCAACCACCAAAACAAUACCAAAGAGAUUCACAGGAAACCAAAGACAAAUCCGAUCACAAGUUAACUAUCACUGUGUCGGACAACAUUGUUGAC